AAGUAGGAGGACAGACUGGAUAC
RNAcentral lists this non-coding RNA (23 nucleotides) under Mus musculus (house mouse). The record is from RNAcentral. Lineage: Eukaryota; Metazoa; Chordata; Mammalia; Rodentia; Muridae.